This 849-nucleotide long non-coding RNA is filed under the name Equus asinus (donkey). RNAcentral's name for it is "lncRNA (ENSEASG00005027153.1)". Lineage: Eukaryota; Metazoa; Chordata; Mammalia; Perissodactyla; Equidae. The record is from RNAcentral.
AACGAAUGAGUGUUCCUGCUGCUCCACAUCCUCGCUGGCGUUCAGCGUUGUCAGUGUUUUGGAUUUUGACCAUUCCAAUAGACUCAAGGUCUUCAGUUAAUGCUUCGAGGAAAUCUGUCUAGGGAUUGAAUGUGCUCCUUGUGACAGCUGGCCACAGAGGCAGAAGAUUGGAAAGGAAAAGCCUAGAACAAACUGAGAGGCCUCAUGGAUGGGGGUGAAGCCCAGCGAGCAUGGUCCUGGGCGGGCUGGGCCCGUCGACCCGCCGUAACUGGGAAGGGCUGGGCCCCCGGGAGGCUGGUCUUGGAAGACUAGUGUCACCUGCUCCAGUUGGGGUUCCUGACUCGGUGACAUGGGCUCUGCUCUCCCCUUCUGCUUCUGAGGAACUGGGAGUGGAUGGAACGCUUUUCCAGUCAGUUCUCUCUGGAGAAGCAUCAUGCACGCCCUACACCAGCUCUCACGGGCUCCUUUUCCACAGAUACAGAUUCAACCCAGUGCUGGUUAUGUGAGGACUGUGAAAAUCAGGCUCCACACCCUCCUAGUAACAACUGCCUACCUCUAUGUUGUGAAAAUGCAUGAUUGCAGACAUUUGACUUGAUUUUGAGCAGAUUUCUUAAACUAAUGCAAAUAAAAUAUGUUUUUAGAAGAGAAAUAAUAAAUAGCACUUUCUUCUUUUGUUUGUAGUAAGGGCCUGCCCUGAAGGACAGCCGUAGCUGACCUUGGAAUGCAUUAGUCCUAAGGGGUAGGGACGUGUCUCUUUCCUUGCUGUUUUUGCCAGGGGGAAAGAGACACUUCAGGUGACGCUCUUCUCUGUUAUAACUUAGCUGAAGAUAAAGCCUUAAGUCUUUUCUC